UAGGAGUUAGUAUAGUGGUAGUACGCAAAAUUUUGGGUUUUGUGGCAUAGGUUCAAGUCCUAUAUUCUAG
Molecule: transfer RNA, 70 nt
Filed under: Varanus dumerilii (Dumeril monitor)
Lineage: Eukaryota; Metazoa; Chordata; Lepidosauria; Squamata; Varanidae
Description: tRNA-Gln
Rfam family: tRNA
About the family: Transfer RNA (tRNA) molecules are approximately 80 nucleotides in length.
Source: RNAcentral